Molecule: transfer RNA, 75 nt
Filed under: bacterium
Lineage: Bacteria
Also listed under: 4 other names
Description: tRNA-Val
Rfam family: tRNA
About the family: Transfer RNA (tRNA) molecules are approximately 80 nucleotides in length. Their secondary structure includes four short double-helical elements and three loops (D, anti-codon, and T loops). Further hydrogen bonds mediate the characteristic L-shaped molecular structure. tRNAs have two regions of fundamental functional importance: the anti-codon, which is responsible for specific mRNA codon recognition, and the 3' end, to which the tRNAs corresponding amino acid is attached (by aminoacyl-tRNA synthetases). tRNAs cope with the degeneracy of the genetic code in two manners: having more than one tRNA (with a specific anti-codon) for a particular amino acid; and 'wobble' base-pairing, i.e. permitting non-standard base-pairing at the 3rd anti-codon position.
Source: RNAcentral
UGGGCUAUAGCUCAGUGGGAGAGCGCUGCCUUGACAUGGCAGAGGUCGACAGUUCAACCCUGUCUAGCCCAACCA